UACGGAGGGGGCUAGCGUUGUUCGGAAUUACUGGGCGUAAAGCGCGCGUAGGCGGCUUUGUAAGUUAGAGGUGAAAGCCCGGAGCUCAACUCCGGAAUUGCCUUUAAGACUGCAUCGCUAGAAUCAUGGAGAGGUGAGUGGAAUUCCGAGUGUAGAGGUGAAAUUCGUAGAUAUUCGGAAGAACACCAGUGGCGAAGGCGACUCACUGGACAUGUAUUGACGCUGAGGUGCGACAGCGUGGGGAGCAAACAGG
RNAcentral lists this ribosomal RNA (253 nucleotides) under uncultured bacterium. RNAcentral describes it as "partial 16S ribosomal RNA". It matches the Rfam family "Bacterial small subunit ribosomal RNA", at positions 524 to 776 of the family's 1533-position model. The record is from RNAcentral.